CAGUCGCCACGGUAAUACGUAGGGUGCGAGCGUUAAUCGGAAUUACUGGGCGUAAAGCGUGCGCAGGCGGUUAUAUAAGACAGUUGUGAAAUUCCCGGGCUCAACCUGGGAACUGCAUCAGUGACUGUAUAGCUAGAGUACGGUAGAGGGGGAUGGAAUUCCGCGUGUAGCAGUGAAAUGCGUAGAUAUGCGGAGGAACACCGAUGGCGAAGGCAAUCCCCUGGACCUGUACUGACGCUCAUGCACGAAAGCGUGGGGAGCAAACAGGAUUAGAGACCCGCGUAGUCCCUGUCUCUUAUAC
RNAcentral lists this ribosomal RNA (301 nucleotides) under uncultured bacterium. RNAcentral describes it as "partial 16S ribosomal RNA". It matches the Rfam family "Bacterial small subunit ribosomal RNA", at positions 509 to 807 of the family's 1533-position model. The record is from RNAcentral.